This 477-nucleotide ribosomal RNA is filed under the name uncultured bacterium. Its description in RNAcentral is "partial 16S ribosomal RNA". It matches the Rfam family "Bacterial small subunit ribosomal RNA", at positions 28 to 507 of the family's 1533-position model. The record is from RNAcentral.
GAUGAACGCUGGCGGCGUGCCUAACACAUGCAAGUCGAACGAAGCGCCUUACCGGAUUCUUCGGAUGAAGGUCUGGUGACUGAGUGGCGGACGGGUGAGUAACGCGUGGGUAACCUGCCCUGUACAGGGGGAUAACAGCUGGAAACGGCUGCUAAUACCGCAUAAGCGCACGAGGAGACAUCUCCUUGUGUGAAAAACUCCGGUGGUACAGGAUGGGCCCGCGUCUGAUUAGCUGGUUGGCAGGGUAACGGCCUACCAAGGCAACGAGCAGUAGCCGGUCGGAGAGGAUGAACGGCCACACUGGAACUGAGACACAGUCCGAACUCCUACGGGAGGCAGCAGUGGGGAAUAUUGCACAAUGGGGGAAACCCUGAUGCAGCAACGCCGCGUGAGUGAAGAAGUAUUUCGGUAUGUAAAGCUCUAUCAGCAGGGAAGAUAAUGACGGUACCUGACUAAGAAGCUCCGGCUAAAUACGUG